UACAGAGGGCUCAAGCGUUAAUCGGAAUCACUGGGCUUAAAGGGUCCGCAGGCGGAUUGGAAAGUAUCUUGUGAAAUACCAACCGGCUCAACCGUGGAACUGCUCGGUAAACUUCCAAUCUUGAACACGGUAGGGGCCAUCGGAACUCGUAGGUGGAGCGGUGAAAUGCGUAGAUAUCUAGAGGAACGCCAGAGGCGAAGGCGGAGUGGCCUGGGCCGUUGUUGACGCUCAGGGACGAAAGCAUGGGUAGCGGAACGGGAUUAGAUACCCCGGUAGUCC
Molecule: ribosomal RNA, 279 nt
Filed under: uncultured bacterium
Lineage: Bacteria
Description: partial 16S ribosomal RNA
Rfam family: Bacterial small subunit ribosomal RNA
Source: RNAcentral